UGGGGAAUUUUGGGCAAUGGGCGAAAGCCUGACCCAGCAACGCCGCGUGAAGGAUGAAGUAUUUCGGUAUGUAAACUUCGAAAGAAUAGGAAGAAUAAAUGACGGUACUAUUUAUAAGGUCCGGCUAACUACGUGCCAGCAGCCGCGGUAAUACGUAGGGACCAAGCGUUGUUCGGAUUUACUGGGCGUAAAGGGUGCGUAGGCGGCAAUUCAAGUCAUCUGUGAAAUCUCCGGGCUUAACUCGGAACGGUCAGAUGAUACUGCUUUGCUAGAGUGCAGAAGGGGCAAUCGGAAUUCUUGGUGUAGCGGUGAAAUGCGUAGAUAUCAAGAGGAACACCUGAGGUGAAGACGGGUUGCUGGGCUGACACUGACGCUGAGGCGCGAAAGCCAGGGGGAGCAAACGGGAUUAGAUACCCUGGUAGUCCCUGAGCGGGCUGGCAAGGCGCAU
This 448-nucleotide ribosomal RNA is filed under the name uncultured bacterium. RNAcentral's name for it is "bacterial SSU rRNA". It matches the Rfam family "Bacterial small subunit ribosomal RNA", at positions 355 to 825 of the family's 1533-position model. The record is from RNAcentral.